GCCAGGCGUGGUGGCUCACGCCUGUAAUCCCAGCACUUUGGAGGCUGAGGUGGGUGGAUCACUAGAGGUCAGGAAUUUGAGACCAGCCUGGCCAACAUGGUGAAACCCCAUCUCUA
This 116-nucleotide non-coding RNA is filed under the name Homo sapiens (human). The record is from Rfam by way of RNAcentral. Lineage: Eukaryota; Metazoa; Chordata; Mammalia; Primates; Hominidae.